This 201-nucleotide ribosomal RNA is filed under the name Escherichia coli. RNAcentral's name for it is "partial 23S ribosomal RNA". It matches the Rfam family "Bacterial large subunit ribosomal RNA", at positions 1161 to 1360 of the family's 2925-position model. Lineage: Bacteria; Pseudomonadati; Pseudomonadota; Gammaproteobacteria; Enterobacterales; Enterobacteriaceae. The record is from RNAcentral.
GCGCGGAAGAUGUAACGGGGCUAAACCAUGCACCGAAGCUGCGGCAGCGACGCUUAUGCGUUGUUGGGUAGGGGAGCGUUCUGUAAGCCUGUGAAGGUGUACUGUGAGGUAUGCUGGAGGUAUCAGAAGUGCGAAUGCUGACAUAAGUAACGAUAAAGCGGGUGAAAAGCCCGCUCGCCGGAAGACCAAGGGUUCCUGUCC